AGGCACCACAAGCCAAGGGACACCACAGCCCCCAGCUGGGAGAGGCAGCAGGCCCUUCUCUAGAGACUGAUGCAAGGGUGGAGUUCUGCAGCCUCUGUGGAACCGUCCUCGACAUCUCCAUUUCGGUCUUACCUUUCACCCGAUCUGUCAGGAAGUCCUGGGCCACUUGCAUCUAAUCACUGUUCAGAGCUGAGGACCGACCAUUCCGCAGACACUUUAGGAACGUGCUGGACAUGCUGCUUAGCUACGUCUGACCCUCCUCCAGGCUGGCCUGAGUGUAAACUAUGGAGCGGACCUCCAAGAGAUGGGGAAGCUGGGACCCACUCUGCCCUGGUCUCAGAGUGUGAGCCCUUGCCAGGUCCCAGGGAGGGAUGGCUAUAGGGUGCUGCAUCCUCCACCUUCCCAAGGUGGGGCCUGAGAGCUGGGGUGGCAAGGCAGCCUCCUCCCCCACAGCUGCUCCGCUGAGCUGGAUGGACAGUGUGACCUUUGCAGAUAUCCUCAGUCCAGACAAAAGCUGCAGAUUGUAAUC
Molecule: long non-coding RNA, 529 nt
Organism: Fukomys damarensis (Damara mole-rat)
Lineage: Eukaryota; Metazoa; Chordata; Mammalia; Rodentia; Bathyergidae
Exons: 3
Source: RefSeq, a predicted model, not a curated record